This 73-nucleotide ribosomal RNA is filed under the name Cronobacter sakazakii. RNAcentral's name for it is "partial 23S ribosomal RNA". The record is from RNAcentral. Lineage: Bacteria; Pseudomonadati; Pseudomonadota; Gammaproteobacteria; Enterobacterales; Enterobacteriaceae.
GUGUGUAAGCGCAGCGAUGCGUUGAGCUAACCGGUACUAAUGAACCGUGAGGCUUAACCUUACAACGCCAAAG